AGACCCUGGUCUGCACUCUAUCU
This 23-nucleotide non-coding RNA is filed under the name Equus caballus (horse). The record is from RNAcentral. RNAcentral also lists the same sequence under 2 other names. Lineage: Eukaryota; Metazoa; Chordata; Mammalia; Perissodactyla; Equidae.